GCACGACUCAUAAUCGUGAGGUCGCGGGUUCGAGCCCCGCUCCUGCUACGA
This 51-nucleotide transfer RNA is filed under the name Microbacterium sp. RNAcentral describes it as "tRNA-Ser". It matches the Rfam family "tRNA", at positions 25 to 71 of the family's 71-position model. Rfam says of the family: Transfer RNA (tRNA) molecules are approximately 80 nucleotides in length. Lineage: Bacteria; Bacillati; Actinomycetota; Actinomycetes; Micrococcales; Microbacteriaceae. The record is from RNAcentral.